RNAcentral lists this ribosomal RNA (586 nucleotides) under uncultured bacterium. RNAcentral describes it as "partial 16S ribosomal RNA". It matches the Rfam family "Bacterial small subunit ribosomal RNA", at positions 355 to 1376 of the family's 1533-position model. The record is from RNAcentral.
UGGGGAAUAUUGCACAAUGGGCGCAAGCCUGAUGCAGCCAUGCCGCGUGUGUGAAGAAGGCCUUCGGGUUGUAAAGCACUUUCAGCGAGGAGGAAGGUGGUGAGCUUAAUACGCUCAUCAAUUGACGUUACUCGCAGAAGAAGCACCGGCUAACUCCGUGCCAGCAGCCGCGGUAAUACGGAGGGUGCAAGCGUUAAUCGGAAUUACUGGGCGUAAAGCGCACGCAGGCGGUUUGUUAAGUCAGAUGUGAAAUCCCCGGGCUCAGCCUGGGAACUGCAUUUGAAACUGGCAAGCUAGAGUCUCGUAGAGGGGGGUAGAAUUCCAGGUGUAGCGGUGAAAUGCGUAGAGAUCUGGAGGAAUACCGGUGGCGAAGGCGGCCCCUGANGAAGACUGACGCUCAGGUGCGAAAGCGUGGGGAGCAAACAGGAUUAGAGUACCCUGGUAGUCCACGCUGUAAACGAUGUCGAUUUGGAGGUUGUGCCCUUGAGGCGUGGCUUCCGGAGCUAACGCGUUAAAUCGACCGCCUGGGGAGUACGGCCGCAAGGUUAAAACUCAAAGGAAUUGACGGGGUCAUAGCUGUUUCCUG